RNAcentral lists this ribosomal RNA (484 nucleotides) under uncultured bacterium. Its description in RNAcentral is "partial 16S ribosomal RNA". It matches the Rfam family "Bacterial small subunit ribosomal RNA", at positions 30 to 507 of the family's 1533-position model. The record is from RNAcentral.
AUUGAACGCUGGCGGCAGGCCUAACACAUGCAAGUCGAGCGGAUGAAGGGAGCUUGCUCCUGGAUUCAGCGGCGGACGGGUGAGUAAUGCCUAGGAAUCUGCCUGGUAGUGGGGGAUAACGUCCGGAAACGGGCGCUAAUACCGCAUACGUCCUGAGGGAGAAAGUGGGGGAUCUUCGGACCUCACGCUAUCAGAUGAGCCUAGGUCGGAUUAGCUAGUUGGUGGGGUAAAGGCCUACCAAGGCGACGAUCCGUAACUGGUCUGAGAGGAUGAUCAGUAACACUGGAACUGAGACACGGUCCAGACUCCUACGGGAGGCAGCAGUGGGGAAUAUUGGACAAUGGGCGAAAGCCUGAUCCAGCCAUGCCGCGUGUGUGAAGAAGGUCUUCGGAUUGUAAAGCACUUUAAGUUGGGAGGAAGGGCAGUAAGUUAAUACCUUGCUGUUUUGACGUUACCAACAGAAUAAGCACCGGCUAACUUCGUA